RNAcentral lists this ribosomal RNA (436 nucleotides) under uncultured bacterium. Its description in RNAcentral is "bacterial SSU rRNA". It matches the Rfam family "Bacterial small subunit ribosomal RNA", at positions 355 to 786 of the family's 1533-position model. The record is from RNAcentral.
UGAGGAAUAUUGGUCAAUGGGCGGGAGCCUGAACCAGCCAAGCCGCGUGAGGGAAGAAGGCCCUAUGGGUCGUAAACCUCUUUUGUCAGGGAACAAAAGCGAGUAUGUAUACUAGUCUGAGUGUACCUGAAGAAAAAGCAUCGGCUAACUCCGUGCCAGCAGCCGCGGUAAUACGGAGGAUGCGAGCGUUAUCCGGAUUUAUUGGGUUUAAAGGGUGCGUAGGCGGCGAUGCAAGUCAGCGGUAAAAGCCCGGGGCUCAACCCCGGCGAGCCGUUGCAAACUGACAGUGCUAGAGAAGGCGAGAGGUACGCGAUGCGCAGUGUAGCGGUGAAAGAUGCUUAGAUAUUGCGCAGAACUCCGAUUGCGAAGGCAGCGUACUGGCGCCUGACCGACGCUGAGGCACGAAAGCGUGGGGGAUCGAACAGGAUUAGAUACC